CCAGACAGCCGGAUGGCCGCUGCCGCUCGCAAGAGAGGGAGAGGAAAGUCCGGGCUCCAGACGAAAGGAUGCCGGAUAACGUCCGGCAAGGGCGACCUUAGGGACAGUGCCACAGAAAACAAACCGCCACGCUUGGCGUGGUAAGGGUGAAACGGCGUGGUAAGAGCACACCGCGCUUACGGUAACGCAAGCGGCAAGGCAAACCCCAUCCGGAGCAAGAUCGCAUAGGAACCACACUUCACCGCAAGGUGAAACCGUUUUCGUCACGGCGAUGGUUCGGGUUGAUUGCUUGAGACGCAUGGUAACAUGCGCCCUAGAUGAAUGGUCAUCCGCAGCAGUUUACUGUUGCGACAGAACCCGGCUUACAGGCUGUCUGGUACC
This 381-nucleotide RNase P RNA is filed under the name Pseudomonadota bacterium. Its description in RNAcentral is "Proteobacteria bacterium (wastewater metagenome) RNase P RNA component class A". It matches the Rfam family "Bacterial RNase P class A". Rfam says of the family: Ribonuclease P (RNase P) is a ubiquitous endoribonuclease, found in archaea, bacteria and eukarya as well as chloroplasts and mitochondria. Its best characterised activity is the generation of mature 5'-ends of tRNAs by cleaving the 5'-leader elements of precursor-tRNAs. The record is from RNAcentral. Lineage: Bacteria; Pseudomonadati; Pseudomonadota.